RNAcentral lists this ribosomal RNA (504 nucleotides) under uncultured Eubacteriales bacterium. RNAcentral's name for it is "bacterial SSU rRNA". It matches the Rfam family "Bacterial small subunit ribosomal RNA", at positions 1 to 507 of the family's 1533-position model. Lineage: Bacteria; Bacillati; Bacillota; Clostridia; Eubacteriales. The record is from RNAcentral.
CGUAGAGAGUUUGUAGUCCUGCGUCAGGAUGAACGCUGGCGGCGUGCUAACACAUGCAAGUCGAACGAAGCAUUUUAAAUGAGACUUCGGGUGGAUUUUAAAAUGACUGAGUGGCGGACGGGUGAGUAACGCGUGGGCAACCUGCCUUACACAGGGGGACAACAGUUAGAAAUGACUGCUAAUACCGCAUAAGCGCACGGGAACGCAUGUUUCUGUGUGAAAAACUCCGGUGGUGUAAGAUGGGCCCGCGUUGGAUUAGGUAGUUGGUGAGGUAACGGCUCACCAAGCCGACGAUCCAUAGCCGACCUGAGAGGGUGACCGGCCACAUUGGGACUGAGACACGGCCCAAACUCCUACGGGAGGCAGCAGUGGGGAAUAUUGCACAAUGGGCGCAAGCCUGAUGCAGCGACGCCGCGUGAGCGAAGGAGUAUUUCGGUAUGUAAAGCUCUAUCAGCAGGGAAGAAAAUGACGGUACCUGACUAAGAAGCUCCGGCUAAAUACGUG